AGUGAAUAGAUACCCGGGUAGUCCAUGCCGUAAACGUUGUGCGCUAGGUGUAGGAGGUAUCGACCCCUUCUGUGCCGCAGCUAACGCAUUAAGCGCACCGCCUGGGGAGUACGGUCGCAAGACUGAAACUCAAAGGAAUUGACGGGGGCCCGGCACAAGCGGUGGAGCAUGUGGUUUAAUUCGAGGCAACGCGAAGAACCUUACCCAGGCUUGACAUCCCAGGACACCCUAUGAAAGUAGGUCUUCCCUUCGGGGACCUGGAGACAGGUGUUGCAUGGCUGUCGUCAGCUCGUGUCGUGAGAUGUUGGGUUAAGUCCCGCAACGAGCGCAACCCUUGUCCUUAGUUACCAGCGGGUUAUGCCGGGCACUCUGAGGAGACUGCCGAUGAUAAGUCGGAGGAAGGUGGGGACGACGUCAAGUCAUCACGGCCCUUACGCCUGGGGCUACACACGUGCUACAAUGGUCGGUACAGAGGGACGCAAGACCGCGAGGUGGAGCCAAUCCCAAAAGCCGGCUCAGUUCGGAUUGCAGUCUGCAACUC
This 541-nucleotide ribosomal RNA is filed under the name uncultured bacterium. RNAcentral's name for it is "bacterial SSU rRNA". It matches the Rfam family "Bacterial small subunit ribosomal RNA", at positions 774 to 1313 of the family's 1533-position model. The record is from RNAcentral.